Molecule: long non-coding RNA, 2481 nt
Organism: Esox lucius (northern pike)
Lineage: Eukaryota; Metazoa; Chordata; Actinopteri; Esociformes; Esocidae
Source: Ensembl
GUCGGGGGCAGAUGUGGUACUAAAAGAUAUUUCCCAAACUGUGAGGUAAAGUUACAUUCAUCACACUAACAGACAUACACAGAGCUUGGAUUUCUCUGUUUGUAUGGCUUUGAGGCAUUACUGUUCCACAAUACCAUGUGCUCUUGAAAAUCUCCAAUAGAAAUGGAAUGAAAGGCUCAAAUUUGUGAAUGAUUGUGUGCCCACUAACAUUUUGGAUGGGUAAAACUGAAUGUAGUGUUCAGAAUAGUAUCAAUUUUCAAUAGGUGCCACGAUCUAAAACGUAGUACCGUGUCACAUAUGGAAUCAUCAUUUUAAUUCCAUGCUUGGAACUGUACACACUUAGAAAUGUAAUGUAUUAUGGGUUGCCCAUAGUCUACUUUAGACAGCUUGUGUUCUAGAUGAACACCUUUUAUUUUACCCACCUCGAAACAACUGGAUUUCAUGAUACUGUAAACCAAAUGUUUCAAUUAAGAAAAUAUGUAAUAUGACUCUUGGGUAAGAAGCCUUCUAAAUACAAAUUUUCAAAUGGAGAACCUUUUAAAAGAUGAUAAAAUGUCAACAAAUGGAUACUUGAGCAUAGGGAGCUGAGUAACUGAAUAGGUCUCAUUGCAUCGGUUUUAAUAUGUCUGACUGUGGUUUGAAGAUACAGUUACAGUAGUAUCACCUUAUGUCUAAAGCCAAGUAGAGCAACAUGGUUUAAAAUCCAUCUUGAUUUGGAUGGAAAGGACAUGAAGCAAAACUGUUGGGAAUUGAGUAACUUACAAAUGUAGGUGAGACUGGGGGAAACUAUAACACCUACUGUAUUGCUCAGAGACUAAUUAAACUAGGCCAGUAUUUCUUUAAUACAACAAGCAUACAUGGGCCUCGAAAACAUUAAUAUAAUUUCUAGGUCUACAAUAUACAGAACACACUACCGAUUCUGUCCUGACAAGUCCGGGUGUUCCUUUUCUUCCAUUCCAGGGGCAGUCAUACCUUUAGCUGGAUUCAGAUGUAACUCCUAAAAUAAAUCCAAAACUCACUAAACCGGAAUUAAAAUACUAUUUAAGGACUUUUUAUGCAAGUGACCAACAUUACAGUCCUGUUUAUGCCAGGCCAAUUAGUACAUUGUUUGUCUGAUGGCACCCAGAUUAUAUAUUUACAUCUAUGGUACUCUACACCAAAUCACCUUCAGUUUCAAGUAAAAAAAACAUGUGUUUUCAUAAUCUGGCUACUUGUCUCCAUUUAAUUUGCACAUUGUGUAACAACUACCCACAACCCUAACAGACAAACUUUGUGCCUUGCAAGAGAAAAGUCAAGUGACAAGUCGAUCAUGUCAAUGUUUAGACAACAUUUAGUAAUUCAGUUGUUCGAUUUUUAUACAUUAAUGUUCAGGAAUGUAUGAGAACAUUUCAGCUGGUGAAAGAACAUUUCAACCCCCUCUCAAAAAAAAAAAAAAAAAAACUCUAGCAUUCCUAAUUUCUGUGACAUAUUCAAGGUGUUCCAAUUUCCCCCACACUCCCCUACUUAUAAAUACCUCAUAUACUCAGGUUUGUAAUUUGUACAAAAACUAGUUCAUAUUACCAAUGAAAACUGCAUCAUUUAAAAUUACAAGUAAAAAAAAAAAAUGCAUUAGAAUAGUUUGAAUGAAACAAAUAUGACAAGAGAAUUAGAAAACAGGAGUCUGCCCAGAUAGCAUGUUGAUACACUACCAUCACUCAGCCUGCUCACCAGCUACUACUGGAGAAACACACGAUCAUCACCAGUAGUUAUGAGUAGAAAAUGUUAGUAUAAACGUCACAUUAGAAGUGUAAAUACUCCUGCACAUAGCACCAUAGAUAACGUGAGAAUGGCUAUCUAGGCUGCGUUUAGACAGCCCACUUCUGAUACAGGCCUGGAUCCAUAGGGGGCAAAGCUGGGCAUUGCCCCCCACCCAGAUAGAAUCUGUGCCCCUAGUUUUGUUUCCCCUUAAACACUGCAAAUGGUAUAGGAAUUAGAUAUGCCCUCCCAUUGAUAAAAAAUGCCACUAAUUUUAUCCUGGAGCCAGUCCUGUCCUGAUCAGUUUUUAUUAAAUCAAAAACAAAAAGAUGUGAUGAGAAGGUCUGAUAUGAGGUCCAAAUACCAUAAAUUGGGAAAAAAAUAAAAUAGGGCUGCCUGUGUAAAUGCACCCUAUGUAACAGAUUUCAGGCCACAUUCCAAUAUCCGUACUAGCAUAACACCAGGGUUGGUGGCAAUUCCAAAUAUAUUUUUUUCCUCAUUGAAAAGCAUUGAAGAAAAUUGGAUUGUUAAUUUCAGUGCGCUUCCAAAAUGUACCCCAACCCAGCAUAGCAUACCUCAUAGACUAGAGUAGCAGUUCCCAAACCUUUUUGGGCCGAGGACCACCAAAUUACUGUCAAAUGCUUAAGUAUUACAGUUGUGAAGUCUAAUUUUACCUUAAUUACCUGCUUUACUUGUUGAAAUGUAGUCCUAAUCACUUAAAGUAAAAGAUACAUGACUAUUAUAAUU